GAUGAAGAACGUAGCGAAAUGCGAUAACUAAUGUGAAUUGCAGAAUUCAGUGAAUCAUCGAGUCUUUGAACGCACAUUGCGCCCCCUGGUAUUCCGGGGGGCAUGCCUGUCCGAGCGUCAUUGCUGCUCUCAAGCACGGCUUGUGUGUUGGGCUCCGUCCCCCCGGGGACGGGCCCGAAAGGCAGCGGCGGCACCGAGUCCGGUCCUCGAGCGUAUGGGGCUUUGUCACCCGCUCUGUAGGCCCGGCCGGCGCCAGCCGACAACCCAUCAUCCUUUUCAGGUUGACCUCGGAUCAGGUAGGGAUACCCGCUGAACUUAAGCAUAUCAAUAAGCGGAGGA
RNAcentral lists this unclassified non-coding RNA (339 nucleotides) under soil metagenome. RNAcentral describes it as "partial contains 5.8S ribosomal RNA, internal transcribed spacer 2, and large subunit ribosomal RNA". The stretch from base 1 to 120 matches the Rfam family "5.8S ribosomal RNA", at positions 35 to 154 of the family's 154-position model. The record is from RNAcentral.